UCGGGAAUUUUGGGCAAUGGGCGAAAGCCUGACCCAGCAACGCCGCGUGAAGGAUGAAGUAUUUCGGUAUGUAAACUUCGAAAGAAUAGGAAGAAUAAAUGACGGUACUAUUUAUAAGCUCCGGCUAACUACGUGCCAGCAGCCGCGGUAAUACGUAGGGAGCAAGCGUUGUUCGGAUUUACUGGGCGUAAAGGGCGCGUAGGCGGCGCGGUAAGUCACUUGUGAAAUCUCUGAGCUUAACUCAGAACGGCCAAGUGAUACUGCAGUGCUAGAGUGCAGAAGGGGCAAUCGGAAUUCUUGGUGUAGCGGUGAAAUGCGUAGAUAUCAAGAGGAACACCUGAGGUGAAGACGGGUUGCUGGGCUGACACUGACGCUGAGGCGCGAAAGCUAGGGGAGCAAACGGGAUUAGAUACCCAAGUAGUCCCUGAGCGGGCUGGCAAGGCGCAU
Molecule: ribosomal RNA, 447 nt
Filed under: uncultured bacterium
Lineage: Bacteria
Description: bacterial SSU rRNA
Rfam family: Bacterial small subunit ribosomal RNA
Source: RNAcentral